Molecule: ribosomal RNA, 497 nt
Filed under: uncultured bacterium
Lineage: Bacteria
Description: partial 16S ribosomal RNA
Rfam family: Bacterial small subunit ribosomal RNA
Source: RNAcentral
GAUGAACGCUGGCGGCGUGCCUAAUACAUGCAAGUCGAGCGAACAGAUAAGGAGCUUGCUCCUUUGACGUUAGCGGCGGACGGGUGAGUAACACGUGGGUAACCUACCUAUAAGACUGGGAUAACUCCGGGAAACCGGGGCUAAUGCCGGAUAACAUUUCGAACCGCAUGGUUCUAAAGUGAAAGAUGGUUUUGCUAUCACUUAUAGAUUGACCCGCGCCGUAUUAGCUAGUUGGUAAGGUAACGGCUUACCAAGGCAACGAUACGUAGCCGACCUGAGAGGGUGAUCGGACACACUGGAACUGAGACACGGUCCAGACUCCUACGGGAGGCAGCAGUAGGGAAUCUUCCGCAAUGGGCGAAAGCCUGACGGAGCAACGCCGCGUGAGUGAUGAAGGUCUUCGGAUCGUAAAACUCUGUUAUUAGGGAAGAACAAAUGUGUAAGUAACUGUGCACAUCUUGACGGUACCUAAUCAGAAAGCCACGGCUAACUACGUG